CCCUGCUACGAGUUCUAUGCCAACUCCGAAUCGGCAAGGCCCCAGUGCACUUCAGCUGGGUCAUAGGAGUCAUGUUGCUGUAUGCUCAAUAUCUGGGGCAUCAUUCUCUACCUGCAGCUGCCUUGGAUCGCUGCUCAGGCAGGCACAGGUUCAUCAUCCUGUUCUUGGCCUCAGUCAUACUGUCACUGGAUUGUCUAUCUCAGCCAUCUCCAGCAACGGCAAAAUCAAGGCUGGUUGGGAGCCGCCUGGGCGCAAAGUGCCAGUAUGGCUGGGAUUUCAGCAGUUGUCGAGAGCAAGGGUCCUGCCUCUGUGGGCUCUCUAAUCACUAUGAGCAUGAACAUGGUGUCUGCCUUUAGCCCUCUGAUGUCUGCUGGAAUCUUGAGAGCCAUUCUGUUCUGUACCCUUUCCUGCUUUGUUUCAGCCCCUAAUAUCUUCCAGGCUGUGCCAGGAUAAACCAUACACAAUCACUGGCUUUUUUGGGGGGAAAGGCCAUGGCAAGAACCACGAGCCUCUGUGGGGCUAUCUGCUCACCUUCCUCACUGCUGUAGGUUUCAUCCUUAUCGGUGACUACUCCCCAUUGCCCCCACCAUCGCCAACUUCCUCCUCUGUUCCUGUGCCCUCAACUUUGGCUGUCUCUACGCCUCCCUUACCCCCUGCAGGCUGGCGCCUUUCCUUCUGCAGGUAAAGUCCCUGGGUCUCUCUCCUGGGCUCUCUGCUCUGCCUGCUCAUCACAUUCCUCCUCACAUGGCGGGCAACACUGAUUACUGUGUUGCUUACCCUUCUGCUGUUAUAUGAACUGGGGCUCUUCAGCCCAGGCAGACACCUACCAAAUGGCGCUGUCCUACUCAGUGAGCCUCACCAAUGUGUAAGAUCACAUUAAGAACUUCCAG
This 890-nucleotide long non-coding RNA is filed under the name Homo sapiens (human). RNAcentral describes it as "non-protein coding lnc-APEX1-2:1". The record is from RNAcentral. Lineage: Eukaryota; Metazoa; Chordata; Mammalia; Primates; Hominidae.